Molecule: non-coding RNA, 3095 nt
Organism: Anas platyrhynchos (mallard)
Lineage: Eukaryota; Metazoa; Chordata; Aves; Anseriformes; Anatidae
Source: RefSeq, a predicted model, not a curated record
GGGUACUGCUAUCUUUUCACAGGGAAAAAGUAGGAACUUCAGAAUAUGGAACAUACACUAUUUGAUAUCUUUUACAAAUACUAGGGAAAAGCCUCCCCUCAUUGGAGUUCACAGCAAAAUUCCAAGCCUGCAGGAGUUUAAAUAUUUUUGAUUAAAGAGUCUAUGCAAACAGUUUGCCACUAUGAUCACUGCAAUGCAAACUCAAACAGCUUUGGAUAAAUUCCUGGUCUGACUCUGUUACUGUGUAAAACUCAGCAGACACCACUGGAACAGUUAGUUCCCUUGCUUGGUGGGAUGAAAGACGGAUGCAUACAGAAGAAGCUGAGAGGUGAUUAGCACUUCUCUGACUUGAAGUUUUACACAACUUCCUUUGGGCAACAGAACGGAAGGCUGGAAUGAUUCUGAAUUGAGCCGUGGUACAGAGCUGCUGAGCUGCUGGUCAGUCAGUUACAGUUGGAAUCAGUGGUGCCACAUCUGUAGAUGAACAUAAAUGAAACUACAUAGAAAAGGUACUCUACAUCUUCACUAGAUUUUCUGUAGGUUUGGACCACUUCAUUUGGAGACUGAUCCACAGAGCUGGGAAAUCAAUUUUGCUUCAGAAACUAAAUCUUUGGUUUAACCUGUGGUAGCCUUUGGAGCAGGAUAUCAGAAGAAAUGAUGGCAUGGAGUCAGGAAGAAAAGGUGAAAAGUGAACAAGAAAGAAACCAGAACCACUUAUCUUAGUAGCACUGUUUCACCAUGGACACAGACUUCUGACAACUGCUUGGAUAGAAGUGUUGGAGCCUGAGAAAUUGGCAUGUUUCAGGCGUUUGGACAUGCUUACCCUGAGUUUGUCCUGACCUACCUAGAGGAACUAAAUGAAAGAGGAGGUGACCCAGACAGAAAACCGCAUUCACCAUGGGGCCUGAUCUGCAGCUCAUCGGGAGAUAGACAGCAGCUCAGCAGAAGAGAUACCACAAAAAAAUGUCAGCAACCCCAAUCAGAAACAACUUUCAGGACCUUUGGACGCCCAUUUAAUGCCUGCAGAUCCCCUAGGGGAGACUACACAGCUGACAGUGGCACUGGUGAGGAAACUAGAAGAGAAACAUCCUAAGGCCUCAGCUUAAAGGCUGCACAGGCCCCAAAAACCUGUGGCCAGAGGCUGAGAAUUGCACCAGAACUCCCACCGGCUUUAACACAGUGACAAUUCCCCCAGUGCGUCUGCUGCACAUGCAUCCUAACUAGUUCAAAACUAGUUCGUAUGAAGUUAAAGAUGGGCACGGAGCAUAUGAUAUCGAUCAUUGGUCAUGACUGGCAUGUGAAAACUCUCCAGCUGCUAACUAGGAGACCGUUCUGAGAUAUUAGAAUAGUAAAAGUAAGUCUGAGGAAUGUGAGAGAACAGAUACUUAUAUAUUCAGUCAGUGGAUCCACUUACAGCUCAAGGGAAAGGAAUCUCACAGAAUAGGUGGAGAAUCCAGGCUUAAAGGUUCUUCUGUAUGGCAAACUCUAAACUUCCUACAAGUUACCUCAGGCCAUUUGCUUCAUUACAGUAUCAAGAUAGUUCUGGCAAGAAAGUGUUCAUGAAUUUGACGAAGAGAAUGGAUUCCCAAAAGACAAGAAUGAAGAAUAAUGUCAAGAUAAGGAACUACCAAAAAUCCCAAGAUUACAUAUUUAUACUUUCUCUGAAAUAUUUUCCCACCCAUUUCCCCUUUCUUUGUGUUUUCUGUUGUUUUUUUUUUUUUUUUUGUGUGUGUUUUUUUUUCUUAAUCCAGCCUUCCUAGUCUAUGUCUACGUCUGCAAGUAUGUAUUAUACUGACUUUUCUAAUAUAAUUCUCAUGAGGAAGUUAGAAACCUGGGUCAUAAAACGUAGAGACUCUGAAGACUAAUAUUUGUAUAUAACACUCUAUAGUGUAAGUUCACGAAGUAUAUUAUCAACCUAAAGUUCAGCUGUUUAUCCAGAUCUCAGCCAAAGCUCUCUGCAGGAUUUAGCAAAGCACAAGACAGCUAUUUGAGUUCGAUCAGCACAUUAUAAAUCAUGCAUUCCCAGGCCUUAUUUUGAGAGUGUGGGAUUUUGACCUGUGUCUUAGGCCUGACAUUGUAUUAGUGGAAAAGACACCUGAUGGUAUCAGUCACACCAGCUUUGGAAAGCGAAUGAUAACUGAAACAAUUCCUUGUGUUUUAAGACCCAAUGGUAUGGAGGCAGACUUCAUUAUUUUUCUUAAAAUACAAAUGCAACUUAAUAGACUGUUGUCUAGCUGUUCAAAGCCUUUGUUAUAUUUGAGAAGGAACUGGGUUUAAUGAUUUAAUAGGGCCUCAAUAUUCUUCUCUCAUUUCCGUACUUUAUUAGCCACUAUUUCCUGCAAAGAAUCUCACAAAUGAAUUUGAACAAAGCUAAUAUGCCAGUCUAAUGACAGAUUGCUUUCAAGACUAAUAUCAAGGAACUUUCUUCCCAUCUAGUGAAUGAAUCAUAGUCAUUCAAUUGUGGACUGUUGGACAGAUAUACGAAGUGCUCUUUGCUUUAAAGCUCUCUGAACAUAAGGAAUGAUCUUAGGAUCAAAAUAUCAUCAAAUAAAAAUACUACACUGUUACAGAAGCUCAGAUUAGUAUUGAUAUAAGAAGUCCAGACACCGCGUCUUUCAAAAACAGAUAAAAAAUACCAGCAUGUAUGCACCAUUUGCCUUUAAUCACAAAGACAUACUGAACAUGCUUGAAAUGCCAAUAGUUUUAUAGAUUGCUGUGCCGUUUACUACUCCUCUAUUCUUCACUUUUUUUCCCUUAAGAGAUGAAACCCAGUGCAGCAGCAUGACAGAAGAUACAUUGAACCAGUCAGCAGACCCAUGAAGAGAGAAACUGGACCUUUCUGUGGAAAUUUCACCAGAUGAGUGAUUUUAAACCUGACAUCAAAAAUUACAAUGCCCACAGAACCAACUGCAUGUGAAAGGACUAAAGUGAAAAUUUAGAGGUGUCCUGUUGUCCUUCAGGUAAGAUGAGUGGAUUUCUUACAGUAGAAAAUAACAUUUGUUAUGUAUAUUUAUAUACUAAUCCUUGUCCUAGCUGUAAUCUUUAAAUUUAAUAUACUUCGUGUUACCAUAUAUAUGCUCCAUAUAUUUUUUAUA